CGUCUAUAUACGUAUAGCAUAUCAAUAAGCGGAGGAAAAGAAACUAACUAGGAUUCCCUUAGUAACGGCGAGUGAAGCGGGAAGAGCUCAAAUUUGAAAUCUUCAAGGUUCUACCUUGACGAAUUGUAGUUUAAAGAAGUGUUUUCUGUUGGAGUUUUGGUAAAAGUUCUUUGGAAUAGGACAUCAUAGAGGGUGAGAAUCCCGUAUUUGACCAUUACUUCCAGCUGUGUGAUACACUUUCAAAGAGUCGGAUUGUUUGGGAAUGCAGUCCAAAAUGGGUGGUAAAUUUCAUCUAAAGCUAAAUAUUGGCGAGAGACCGAUAGCGAACAAGUACCGUGAGGGAAAGAUGAAAAGAACUUUGAAAAGAGAGUUAAACAGUACGUGAAAUUGUCAAAAGGGAAGCGUUUGACACCAGUGUUGUUUUCUCGAAAAUCAAUUAAAAAAGAUUGGAUUUUGUGUUGUAUUGACUUUAUCAGCUUUCUGCACUCUUUUUCCUGUCUUUUUUAAUGCACUUUUCGUUUAACAAGUCAACAUCAAUUUCUUUUGUUGUAAAAGGGUCAUUGGAAGGUGGCUUUCUUUUCGGAGAAAGUGUUUAUAGCCUUUGACUUCUGCAAUCGGAGAGAUUGAGGUCUGCAGCGUAGAUCCUUCGGGGUUAGAUACAUUUGUGCUAAGUUAUAGCCUUUCAUAGACAACUUGUUGACUAUGAUCAGUCAUGUAGCUUACUCGCUUAUGUUAUUUUACCUACGCUUAGGAUGUUGACGAUCAGCUGAGCGCG
This 775-nucleotide ribosomal RNA is filed under the name uncultured Neocallimastigales. RNAcentral describes it as "partial large subunit ribosomal RNA". It matches the Rfam family "Eukaryotic large subunit ribosomal RNA", at positions 26 to 628 of the family's 3401-position model. The record is from RNAcentral. Lineage: Eukaryota; Fungi; Neocallimastigomycota; Neocallimastigomycetes; Neocallimastigales.